CCUACGGGGGGCAGCAGUGAGGAAUAUUGGUCAAUGGACGAGAGUCUGAACCAGCCAAGUAGCGUGAAGGAUGACUGCCCUAUGGGUUGUAAACUUCUUUUAUAUGGGAAUAAAACGUUCCACGUGUGGGAUUUUGUAUGUACCAUAUGAAUAAGGAUCGGCUAACUCCGUGCCAGCAGCCGCGGUAAUACGGAGGAUCCGAGCGUUAUCCGGAUUUAUUGGGUUUAAAGGGAGCGUAGGUGGAUUGUUAAGUCAGUUGUGAAAGUUUGCGGCUCAACCGUAAAAUUGCAGUUGAAACUGGCAGUCUUGAGUACAGUAGAGGUGGGCGGAAUUCGUGGUGUAGCGGUGAAAUGCUUAGACAUCACGAAGAACUCCGAUUGCGAAGGCAGUUCACUGGACUGCAACUGACACUGAGGCUCGAAAGUGUGGGUAUCAAACAGGAUUAGAUACCCUAGUAGUC
This 460-nucleotide ribosomal RNA is filed under the name uncultured bacterium. RNAcentral describes it as "partial 16S ribosomal RNA". It matches the Rfam family "Bacterial small subunit ribosomal RNA", at positions 338 to 795 of the family's 1533-position model. The record is from RNAcentral.